Molecule: transfer RNA, 75 nt
Filed under: Prevotella sp.
Lineage: Bacteria; Pseudomonadati; Bacteroidota; Bacteroidia; Bacteroidales; Prevotellaceae
Also listed under: 2 other names
Description: tRNA-Val
Rfam family: tRNA
About the family: Transfer RNA (tRNA) molecules are approximately 80 nucleotides in length. Their secondary structure includes four short double-helical elements and three loops (D, anti-codon, and T loops). Further hydrogen bonds mediate the characteristic L-shaped molecular structure. tRNAs have two regions of fundamental functional importance: the anti-codon, which is responsible for specific mRNA codon recognition, and the 3' end, to which the tRNAs corresponding amino acid is attached (by aminoacyl-tRNA synthetases). tRNAs cope with the degeneracy of the genetic code in two manners: having more than one tRNA (with a specific anti-codon) for a particular amino acid; and 'wobble' base-pairing, i.e. permitting non-standard base-pairing at the 3rd anti-codon position.
Source: RNAcentral
GGGCAAUUAACUCAGCGGGAGAGUAUCCGCUUGACGUGCGGAAAGCCACAGGUUCGAACCCUGUAUUGCCCACCA